This 721-nucleotide long non-coding RNA is filed under the name Musa acuminata (dwarf banana). Its description in RNAcentral is "long non-coding RNA (MACU_LNC009876)". Lineage: Eukaryota; Viridiplantae; Streptophyta; Magnoliopsida; Zingiberales; Musaceae. The record is from RNAcentral.
GUGGAGACAGCCAUUCCUCAUGAUGAACAAACUGGCGAGGGGGGAGCCGGAUCUUACCCUUUAAUUAGGUCACAGCCGAGGGUUUAGGGCAGAGGUCGCCCAAACAUCGAUUGGAAUGACGAAAAUGUCCAUUCCCCAUCAAGUAGAGGAGUGUAUAAAGUCUUAAGUUACUAUCAUUCCAUAUCAGAGUACCCACGUAGCGGUAAGUCAACUCUCGAAUCCUAAUCAGCAGGAGAAGGGCCCGUUUUCGUUUCAUCCCGAGUUUCCUCUGUCGGUGUUACGCUAACGACUGAAGCUAGAAUAUUUCCUGGAGUGGAGGGCUCUCUUCUUAAUAGGAAAACUUCAUUCUAAUAGCAGUCAGGGAAGUAUGAUAUAUUUGCUAUAAGAGUAUUGGAACAUGUCUUAAAGGACGUGAAAAAGGCUACUAUUGGAUGGAUUGGGUAAGCUAUCCUCUUAUCUAUAUUGUACGUAAGGUAAUAAGGCUUGGGCUACUAGUGAAUAAGGCUUGGGCUUCUGCUUUUUCUUCUUAUUAGUAAUGGUGGAAUUCCCAGUUAGGAGUGAGGGUGCUUAGAGGCAUUGGUGAAAAGCCUAAAAGAAAGAACUAAAUGUAAGUAAUACAAGAAUCAAAGCCAGGAUCGGUAGUACUACAGACAGACUUAAGGUCCGACGGUUUAGUAAUUCGAAAAAGGAGUCAAAGAGGUAGCUACAUAAAGAAAGUCAG